Amphiprion ocellaris (clown anemonefish) is the source of this 2321-nucleotide long non-coding RNA. RefSeq lists it as uncharacterized. The transcript has 6 exons. NCBI's taxonomy places the organism in Eukaryota, Metazoa, Chordata, Actinopteri, Pomacentridae. The record is from RefSeq and is a predicted model, not a curated record.
UGUGUUGCCCCUUUUGUCUGGUUUAUUCCAGCUAGCAGCCUGCCUGUUUGGUAAAAUGUUCACUGCAGUUGUAGGAAGCUACAGCGGCUGGAGCGGCUCCUGACGUGCUCUCCUUGUGUGUAUGUGUGUGUGUGCCACGCAGCUGCUCAGAGAGGCUGAGCAUCUGUGGUAGGGACGUGGUGUUGUCAGUGGUGGUAUCCUUCCCUGUGUGAUGUGUGAACCCUGGGUAUUUUUCGUUUCAUCCAUCACCUGUGUGUGUGAUUUUAUUCACCUGGUGACCUCUCCCUGUUCCUCCCCUCUGGUGACACAUCCUGCCACAUGGAUGGAUCUGCAGAGACUUUGAUUCAUCUGCCGUCUGGACAUGGAGUGAUGUGGGUCUCCUCUAAUCAGACAGUGGGAUGCUGCAAGUCACUAGACUGACCUCCUGUGCUUUGGAAGGGGAGGAGCUCACAGCGCCACCUGCUGCUCGUUGAGGACAAUGCACAAUGAGGGACGUCUGCAGAGACUGAGAAAGAGUCUCAUCACAUCCUGACAUGAGGAAAAAGACUUCAUUGAAGACUACAAUGAGAAAAACUAUCAGACAGCAGACGGCUGCAUUCAAGUCUGUAGCUGCUGAAUUCAUGGAUGAAUCAUCUGGCACUAGAGAGGAAGACCAUCAAACAUCCACAUCAGCUGAUGGAGGUCCAAGAGUCUCACCCAACAAACAACCUACAGAGUGAAGACCUCCAAUCUGAUUGGACGGCCUCCUAUUCAGCCACAUUUUAGGCUGCUAGAUUGUUCCAGAUAAGACAAGUACAAGAUUCUUCAGAGCUGUUCUACCACGAGCCUGACAGGAAGAACUCCAACAGCUACUGAAUGUUCCUGUGGUUCCCUCAAGGCUACAGGAGGAGCCCUACGAGGACGAGCCGGUCCACCUGAUGGCGGCCAGUCGCUGCGGUUCAAAGCCAACACCGACUACGUGGACUUCUACUGGACCACACGGAGGCCUUCAAACCGGACCAACAAGUUCAGCGACUCCCCGACUCGUGGGUCUGAGGACGCCGCCGAGCCUCGGUCCAGCCGGCCUCCUGUCUGUGGGUGUUUGAGUGCUGAGAGGUUUGUGGAUGCAUGUGAACGUUCUGUGUUGAAACAGCAGCUUUGGACUCAGUAACGCCGGGAAAAACCAAGAGCUCCUUUAUUUGUGACUUCCACUAAAAAAACUGAUGAAAAUAAGUUUGCCAGGGUUCUGACUGAUAACAGAUUAUUAAAUAAUGAAAAUAACUGUUUAAAUAUUCCUUUAAACAAUCCUUAGGUCUACAUUUCCUUUACACUGACUUCUUGGUAAAUGUACAAGUAUUUUUGGUGGAAUGUACCAUUAAGCCUAAUGUUCAAGGGUUCUUCUGGGAACAUACCAUUAAACCAACCUUUUAGGUAAAUGUUCCAGGAUGUUGGGUAGAAUAUACCAUCAGAUCAACCUUUUAGAUGUACAUUGGAAGAUUUUAGAGUGGAAUAUUACUCCAAACUCCUUUACACCAAGAUUUUUUGGUCUACAUUGAAGGAUUUUAGGUGGAAUAUUCCUUUGAACGAACUUUUUAAGUUUAUGUUCCAAGAUGUUGGGUGGAAUAUACCAUCAGACCAACCUCCAAGGUCUACAGUAGUGAAUUUUAGGUGGAAUAUACCAUUAAACUCACCUUUUAGGUCUACAUUGGAGGAUUUUAGGUGGAAUUUUCUUCCAAACAUCUUUUAGUCUACAUUUAAGGAUGUUUAGGAUGGUAUAUUCUUCCAAACCAACUUCUCAGGUCUACAUUUCAGGUGGAAUAUUCCUCCAUACUAUCUUUUUUGGUCUACAUUGAAGGAUUUUUUCUAAACCACCCUUUGGGGUCUAUAUUUGAGGUUUUAGGUGGAAUAUUCCUUUAAACCAACCUAAAUUUCAUGUUUUGAUCAUUAUCAAGUGAGAAACCUCAGUCCAGACUCCUCAUAACGACGUUUGAGAUUUAUGCUGCUGUUAUUUGUUUAGUCCAGACUAAAUGACAGAAAUCCACAACUGUAAUUUUAUUUCAGGACUCGGUUAUUAAAUGUCAAAACAAUCUAUGUGACUCUAAAAACUCAACAGCUUUACAAACUCUAAGAUUAAACUCUCCACAAGGAUCUAAAAUAGGUUGGACUUCUACAUGAGAGCUUUAAUUAUUCUUCAUCUACUUCCUGAAAAGUUUGGUCAAUAAAAAAGACAAAAACUAAUAUUUUCAGCUGAACUAAAGACAGACUUUGUGAUUUUUCUGCUCACAUGUUGUGUUGUUGUAAACUUCCUCUUUCAAAUAAAUAGCCUCCUAACCCCCUGGAAA